AAGGAUGACUCCUGAGAACCUAUAAUGUGGUUGGCUGACUUCUUAGAUAAGCAGAAGGGCUGGACAACUGUGUCAAGUCCAGCGCACUGCAGACGGUCUGGUCGUGGUCUAUUGAAACAAGUUCGGCAUCCUCCCCAGAUCCUUGUUACAGAAACAAAGCCCCUGGAGGAAAUAAAAAUAAUUCACUUUGGAAAACAUUCUGCUGAUUCUCCAAAAGCACAGUUAGCAUAUGAGCCAGCGGGUCCGAUCUCAGUGCAUGCCAAUUGUUCUGAAAGCACAUGCCCGCAUGAACAAAGUUCAGAGAAAAACCAUCCAUUCACAAUAGCCCCAAGAUGGAAACAACCCAAAUGCGUGAACCAGCUGAUAAAGAGAUGGCGGAGUAGGGCAGGGGUCACAGUGGUCACCCUCUUGCCUUAGCUGCACAUACUGGGAUGCCUAGCCUCCUGUGGUGUUCGGCCCCAGCUGGAGCCCCGCACUAGAGCGCGUUGGCAUUCUGCUUCGGAGAAGCUGCUUGAAAAUUUCAGCAUAGAAGUUAACAAGGAAAGGAUGGAAUUGGAAGGUCAGAUGUCUGCGUCUGAUUGAAGGGGACCGUCACGCUACUGUCCCCAUUUCUUCCCAGCUAGUUACCAGUGUCCCUGCAACUCAGGAGGAGUUCCCUCGCGAGCCGAUAGGGGGCGCCUUCUCCAUGUUCCUCUGCUGCACCCAGCUUCUGACGAAGGAGAGAGCAGGUGGCAGUCCCAUUGGACAGACACCUGAGCCUCAGAGGCCGUAUCUGACCUGCCUGAAGCCACAGUCCUCAGUACAUCAGUCCUCAGUACAGUUGAGAUCGGAAGUCCCAGCCAAGACAGAAACCCUUUGCCUCAGGAUGGACCCUUUAUGAUUUUGAGGCAGGAUGGAAAGUCAGACAACUUUGGGAACAUGGGAAGAGAAAGGAGAAGCUUCUGGAUGACCUUUCUCACCUGACCUGAGGACCAAGAAUUCCAAAAUGCCUUACACCUUUCUCAUUCCUCGGAUGUAAACCUGGGGAUCUCUAGGGAUCCAUCAGAAACCCCGUUUGCAACAAAAUACAUGGUUUAACUUUUGUAUUACCCUAGUUAUACUGAUUUUAUUUCAUCAGAUUGGAAUCCUACCCAAGGAUUCUAAAUGUGAACUAAUGGAUGCAGUUUGGUAACCCACAAAAGUAACGCCACACGUUCUGGAGGAGAAGACGUAUCUCAUCAGAGGAUGACAAUCCGUGAGCCAUGGGGAUCAAUGGGAACUCCGAGUGACCAGUAUUCCUUGAGAACACAGACCAUCUCUGGUCACCUCUGGGUAAAACUGCCCAUUUUAACCAAUCAAUUGAUUAAUUUGGUUUGCGCGUGGAUGUGUGCCCAUUGGCGAGGUCAUGCAUGUGUAGAGGCUAGAGGUGGAUUUCAGGCAUCCUCCUCAAUCACUUUCCACUUUCUUUUUUCUUUGUUGAGGCUGUCUCACUAAAUCUAAAACCCACUGUUUAGUUAGACAGGCUGGCCUGCAACCCCAGGAAAUGCUUGUCUCUUCCCCUAGUUCUGGGGUUACAGGCAUGCAACAUGCCUGGCUUUUAACUGCAUGCUGGGAUGCAAGCUUAGGACUUCACACGUGUGCAUCCACAUCUUACACACGGAGCCAUUUCCCAGCUGGGAACACCAUAUUUGAUGCAGGCUGACUGGUUCCCCUCAAGCUUCUAAUUGGUGCUCACAACCAGAUAGACUUCUGACUGCUGAAGCCGUAUCUUGCUUGUACCACUCCGAGAACCAUCUCACCAGCCACAGAGUCAAUAGUUUAAAAACAUGGACUGGAGAGAUGGCUCAGUGACUAAGAGCACUGACUGUUCUUCCGGUCCUGAGUUCAAUUCCCAGCAACCAC
RNAcentral lists this small RNA (1881 nucleotides) under Rattus norvegicus (Norway rat). RNAcentral's name for it is "uncharacterized LOC100909803". The record is from RNAcentral. Lineage: Eukaryota; Metazoa; Chordata; Mammalia; Rodentia; Muridae.